This 497-nucleotide ribosomal RNA is filed under the name uncultured bacterium. Its description in RNAcentral is "bacterial SSU rRNA". It matches the Rfam family "Bacterial small subunit ribosomal RNA", at positions 30 to 507 of the family's 1533-position model. The record is from RNAcentral.
CGAACGUUAGCGGCGCGCCUAACACAUGCAAGUCGCACGNGAAAGGGAGCAAUCCCCGGUACAGUGGCGCACGGGUGAGUAACACGUAGAUGACCUUCCCUGGAGUGGUGGAUAACCUGCCGAAAGGCGGGCUAAUACAGCAUGGGACCACAUGGUUUUGACCGAGUGGUGAAAGCGGGCCUCUGUUCACAAGCUCGCGCUCUGGGAUGGGUCUGCGUCCCAUCAGCUAGUUGGUGAGGUAAUGGCUCACCAAGGCAUCGACGGGUAGCUGGUCUGAGAGGAUGACCAGCCACACUGGAACUGAGACACGGUCCAGACUCCUACGGGAGGCAGCAGUGGGGAAUCUUGCGCAAUGGGCGAAAGCCUGACGCAGCGACGCCGCGUGGGUGAUGAAGGCCUUCGGGUUGUAAAGCCCUGUGGGGAGGAACGAACCGUACGGGGGCGAAUACCCUCCGUACCUGACGGUACCUCCUUAGCAAGCAUCGGCUAACUCUGUG